AGCCCCGAGGUGAAUUUCAUGUUGAAUUGCAAAUUCAAAGGAGCAGUCUAGAUUUCUGCCGGGGCUU
RNAcentral lists this transfer RNA (67 nucleotides) under Presbytis femoralis percura. Its description in RNAcentral is "tRNA-Cys". The record is from RNAcentral. Lineage: Eukaryota; Metazoa; Chordata; Mammalia; Primates; Cercopithecidae.